Aedes albopictus (Asian tiger mosquito) is the source of this 745-nucleotide long non-coding RNA. RefSeq lists it as uncharacterized. The record is from RefSeq and is a predicted model, not a curated record. The transcript is spliced from 2 exons. NCBI's taxonomy places the organism in Eukaryota, Metazoa, Arthropoda, Insecta, Diptera, Culicidae.
UAAAAAUGAAUUUCCGUCUGUCUGUCUGUCUGUCUGUCUGUCUGACCGCUAUGGAUUCGGAAACUACUGAACCGAUCGGCUUCAAAUUUUGUAUGCAGGGGGGUUUGGGACCGGGGAAGGUUCUUAGCCUGGUGUAAGACCUCUCCGGUCUUAGGAACAGGGGGCUCCCAUACAGAUGACUUCACGGGGGACGUCCCUAUGGAGCUGCAUGCCAAAAAACACAGUAGGCAGGCAGUGCGACGUUUGACGGGACAGGUAGCGCCGGUAGCGUGAAAAAAAAUGGUAGUGUUUGAAACCUGCAUUAUACAUCUCGGAACCAUUUAAAUUGCUAGCUUUUUUGACUCCGGGUAUCAGCGCAAAAUCGGAUUAAGGACGUAGCAAUGACGACGGACAGAAUCAGUCAGCGUCCUAAAGCUAUCCAGGGCAAUUGUGAUACUAAUGGUGAUUGCAACAAUAAUUAAAUGAAUACAUUUAUCUUCUCAGAAUACUUCACGAGAUGACAUCUUCAAUGAUGUCAGAACCCCAGAACCGAGGUCAGAACAGCAUCAAAUUUCGCCGUUUCUGUUCGAAGCAGCAAAGCAUAGGAGGUAUUAGUAAACACGAACCUGAAACCCUACGAAAUUGAAUGGAUUCUUGAGGAUCUGCCGGAUUUAAGAUUGGAGUAACAUUGUUGGCCUCCUACUGUUGGUGCACGAGUCUUUGGAAAACGAAUUUAAAACCAAAAUACAUUUUAUAGAGGAACUUA